GCCUGUUUAUCAAAAACAUGGCCUUUUGAUAAUUAUUUAAGGUCUGACCUGCUCUAUGAUUAAUUAAAUGGCUGCGGUAUUUUGACCGUGCAAAGGUAGCAUAAUCAUUAGUUUUUUAAUUGGAAGCUGGUAUGAAUGGUUGGACAAGGGAAUUACUGUCUCUGAAUAAUUUUAUUUGAAUUUUAUCUUUUAGUGAAAAAGCUUAAAUAUUUGUGAGGGACGAGAAGACCCUAUAGAAUUUUAUAAAUUAAUUUUGAUGGGAUUUUUGGUUUUAUUUAUUUAGUUAUAAUUAAUUUGUUUUGUUGGGGUGAUAGGAAAAUUUAUAAAACUUUUCUUUAUGUUUUACAUUGAUGUAUGAAUUUAUGAUCCAUUAUUUAUGAUUAAAAGAUUAAAUUACCUUAGGGAUAACAGCGUUAUUAGUUUGGAGAGUUCUUAUCGAUAAACUAGAUUGCGACCUCGAUGUUGGAUUAAAAUUAAUACUUGGUGUAGGGGCUAAGUGGUUAAGUCUGUUCGACUUUUAAAAUUUUACAUGAUCUGAGUUCAGACCGG
RNAcentral lists this ribosomal RNA (549 nucleotides) under Odontolabis siva. RNAcentral's name for it is "partial 16S ribosomal RNA". It matches the Rfam family "Bacterial large subunit ribosomal RNA", at positions 1798 to 2619 of the family's 2925-position model. RNAcentral also lists the same sequence under 1 other name. Lineage: Eukaryota; Metazoa; Arthropoda; Insecta; Coleoptera; Lucanidae. The record is from RNAcentral.